UACGUAGGUGGCAAGCGUUGUCCGGAUUUACUGGGCGUAAAGAGCGCGCAGGCGGCCAAGUCAGUCGAAUGUGAAAGCCCCCGGCUCAACUGGGGAGGGUCAUUCGAUACUGCUCGGCUCGAAGACAGGAGAGGGUAGUGGAAUUCCCGGUGUAGUGGUGAAAUGCGUAGAUAUCGGGAGGAACACCAGUGGCGAAGGCGACUACCUGGCCUGUUCUUGACGCUGAGGCGCGAAAGCUAGGGGAGCAAACGGG
RNAcentral lists this ribosomal RNA (253 nucleotides) under uncultured bacterium. RNAcentral's name for it is "partial 16S ribosomal RNA". It matches the Rfam family "Bacterial small subunit ribosomal RNA", at positions 524 to 776 of the family's 1533-position model. The record is from RNAcentral.